RNAcentral lists this ribosomal RNA (497 nucleotides) under uncultured bacterium. RNAcentral's name for it is "partial 16S ribosomal RNA". It matches the Rfam family "Bacterial small subunit ribosomal RNA", at positions 28 to 507 of the family's 1533-position model. The record is from RNAcentral.
GACGAACGCUGGCGGCGUGCCUAAUACAUGCAAGUUGAGCGCUGAAGGUUGGUACUUGUACCAACUGGAUGAGCAGCGAACGGGUGAGUAACGCGUGGGGAAUCUGCCUUUGAGCGGGGGACAACAUUUGGAAACGAAUGCUAAUACCGCAUAAAAACUUUAAACACAAGUUUUAAGUUUGAAAGAUGCAAUUGCAUCACUCAAAGAUGAUCCCGCGUUGUAUUAGCUAGUUGGUGAGGUAAAGGCUCACCAAGGCGAUGAUACAUAGCUGACCUGAGAGGGUGAUCGGCCACAUUGGGACUGAGACACGGCCCAAACUCCUACGGGAGGCAGCAGUAGGGAAUCUUCGGCAAUGGACGAAAGUCUGACCGAGCAACGCCGCGUGAGUGAAGAAGGGUGUCGGAUCGUAAAACUCUGUUGGUAGAGAAGAACGUUGGUGAGAGUGGAAAGCUCAUCAAGUGACGGUAACUACCCAGAAAGGGACGGCUAACUACGUG